UGUGUAGGCGGAUUCCUAAGUACCUUGUGAAAUCCCACGGCUCAACCGUGGAACUGCUCGGUAUACUGGGUGUCUUGAGCCACUUAGGGGCUACCGGAACAAAUGGUGGAGCGGUGAAAUGCGCAGAUAUCAUUUGGAACGCCAAUGGUGAAAACAGGUAGCUGGGAGUGUGCUGACGCUGAGACACGAAAGCCAGGGGAGCGAACGGGAUUAGAUACCCCGGUAGUCCUGGCCGUAAACGAUGUCCACUAGAUCGUAGCAGCUCUGACGUUGUUAUGGUCGAAGCAAAAGUGCUAAGUGGACCGCCUGGGAAGUACGGUCGCAAGGCUAAA
RNAcentral lists this ribosomal RNA (332 nucleotides) under uncultured bacterium. RNAcentral describes it as "bacterial SSU rRNA". It matches the Rfam family "Bacterial small subunit ribosomal RNA", at positions 568 to 898 of the family's 1533-position model. The record is from RNAcentral.